GAUGAAGAACGUAGCGAAAUGCGAUAAGUAAUGUGAAUUGCAGAAUUCAGUGAAUCAUCGAAUCUUUGAACGCACAUUGCGCCCCUUGGUAUUCCGAGGGGCAUGCCUGUUCGAGCGUCAUUAUAACCCCUCAAGCUCAGCUUGGUGUUGGGGCCUGCUGCACUGGCAGCCCUUAAAAUCAGUGGCGGCGCCAUCUGGCUCUAAGCGUAGUAAUUCUUCUCGCUAUGGAGUCCUGGUGGAUGCUUGCCAUCAACCCCCAAUUUUUCUAUGGUUGACCUCGGAUCAGGUAGGGAUACCCGCUGAACUUAAGCAUAUCAAUAAGCGGAGG
This 328-nucleotide unclassified non-coding RNA is filed under the name soil metagenome. RNAcentral's name for it is "partial contains 5.8S ribosomal RNA, internal transcribed spacer 2, and large subunit ribosomal RNA". The stretch from base 1 to 120 matches the Rfam family "5.8S ribosomal RNA", at positions 35 to 154 of the family's 154-position model. The record is from RNAcentral.